ACUGCUAUCGGGGUUCGACUAAGCCAUGCAAGUCGAGAGGGGUAAAGCCCUCGGCGAACUGCUCAGUAACACGUGGAUAACCUGACCUAGGGAGGGGGAUAACCCCGGGAAACUGGGGAUAAUACCCCAUAGGCUACGGAGGCUGGAAUGCCCUGUAACCGAAAGCUCCGGCGCCCUAGGAUGGGUCUGCGGCCGAUUAGGUUGUUGUUGGGGUAACGGCCCAACAAGCCGAUCAUCGGUACGGGUUGUGGGAGCAAGAGCCCGGAGAUGGAUUCUGAGACAUGAAUCCAGGCCCUACGGGGCGCAGCAGGCGCGAAAACUUUACAAUGCGGGAAACCGUGAUAAGGGGACCCCGAGUGCCUGUACACGCAGGCUGUUCAGGUGUUUAAAACGCAUCUGGAGAAAGGGCCGGGCAAGACCGGUGCCAGCCGCCGCGGUAAUACCGGCGGCUCGAGUGGUGGCCACUAUUACUGGGCUUAAAGCGUCCGUAGCCGGGUUGUUAA
This 503-nucleotide ribosomal RNA is filed under the name uncultured archaeon. RNAcentral describes it as "bacterial SSU rRNA". It matches the Rfam family "Archaeal small subunit ribosomal RNA", at positions 26 to 536 of the family's 1478-position model. The record is from RNAcentral.